AGUCUGAAGCUUUUAUUCAGUGGGUCUCUGUGUCUAGAAGAAGGUGUUUGGCCUCUUGGUGGUGAAGCGUGGUUUGUGCUGGCGCCGCAACACACGGUGGGGCAAUGGGAACUUGAUCUUGGAGUCCUGUGGGGAGGGAGGAGAUGCAUGUCCAGGGACUGUCCAUGCGCAACCACCCCCUGCAGCCCUGCGUCAGCCCCACACUCAGGUUCACUCACGUGGAACUGCUUGACAGCUGGCCGGCGGCACUUGCCAGCUGCAAUCUCUUCCACCUUCAUGAUCUGGAUGGAGUGCGCACGGGCACGGUGUCGGGCACCCAUGUCUCGGUCUGUGGAAAGAGAAGAAAGUCAGCCCCAGCCACCCAGAACACCCACAGAACUGUAGAACCUCCUGAUUCACUCUGGAGGGCACUGCACAGCCCCCCAAAGGCGACGAAGCACUUUGCUGUGUGCACCACUGUUUAAACAGCCGCUAUAGUAGCGGCAGUUCUUGGGUUGGGUGCCAAGGGUUGACAGAGGGUUGGUGACUCACAGCACUGUGUGACCGCGCCGGCAGUGGUCAGGUCCCGGUACUCUCGGUACAUGUUGUGAGUGCCACUUCGGGAAUCAUAGCGCAGCCAGAUGCCGAAGUUCUUCACACGCAGGGGUGACUUCUCAAACACCUGUGGGGAGUAAGGAGGAUGUGAGGCUUGUGUACUGCCCUGGCUCUGAUGGUACCCAGGGACCGUCAUCCGGUGGGGCCCCAAGGCUCACCUGCCCACAGUAC
RNAcentral lists this long non-coding RNA (765 nucleotides) under Rattus norvegicus (Norway rat). RNAcentral describes it as "long non-coding RNA NONRATT011856". The record is from RNAcentral. Lineage: Eukaryota; Metazoa; Chordata; Mammalia; Rodentia; Muridae.